GCAGAAAAUUGUUAAUAAUUUGGCAUAUAUUCAAUAGCACUGAGGAGAAACUUUCCCCAUGUCUGUCAAUUUAACAUUAACACAAGAAGCUUUAGCAAGUUCAUCUUCUUCAAGUCCAAGAAUGAUAUCCUGCAACAGAAUUCCUUGGCAAGGGAAGGUCUUGCUGCAAUCAAAUUUCAUGGCUACUUCUGAAGCACUUGUUCCUUGUAUGUUCCUGUACAUUACAUUGCUUACUUGCACAGCUGAUUUCUGCUCUUUGCAUGGAUCAUCUUGAUCACAAUAGUUUUGAUCAAUAAUUAUAGGAUUGGUCACAUUUUUCAUUAUAAGAUUUUGAAAUACUAUGUCUUUUGCAUAUCCAGACCCUCCCUGCCAAGUCUUAAUUCUGACCCCAUUAGUGGUUCCUGAAAAUGUUGCUCUAUUGACUAACACAUUAGAAACUUCAGCUUCUGAAUUAUCAGCUCCUAAGCUACCAAUACUUAUUCCAUGUCCUGGUCCACAUAUAAUAUCUGUGGCUUCAACAUAUCUGGACCCAUUGACUAUUGAUAUACAAUCAUCACCUGUUCUUAUGACAGAGUUUGUUAUUCUGAUGCUAUGGGUGCCAGUGACAUGAAUUCCAUCAGUGUUAGGGCUGUUCCCUGGUGCAGUCACAAGGAGAUUCAUAGCCUUGACAUUAAUACAUUUCUCAAAUCUGAGAUGCAUCUUUUGUGCAUUUUUGAACCACAGAUUGGAUACUAUCAAAUUCCUGGACUCAUUGAAAGUGACAGCGGUGGGUGCAACUUUACAGGGCAUGUCUUUGUUGAUUUUGCAGGAGUUUUCCCACCAUAUCCUGCCAUUGCCAUUGAUAAUGCCACCACCUUGAACUUUGAGAUUGUUUACAUUAUCAAAUACAAUCCAAUGUCUUCUAUCAUCUUCAUACUCACUCAUUUUAUUAGAAGCUUUUAUUGUUCCAUAAAUCUGGAAUAUAAGAUCAGAUUGACAAGGACCUAAAAAUGUGAUAGGUUUAAGGUGAUAAAUCCUGUUUGGAACAACAAUAGUAGCAGUUUGUUUGGAAGAACAAGCCUUGUCCCAUGCUUUGUUGAAUGCCUCACUAUCAUCUGUUCCAUCAGCCUUUGCUGCAAAAUCAUCCACAUUGAUCACUACUUUAUUUGAUGAACUUGUAGUAGUAGAAGUGCUUCUGUGCCUAACAAGCUUGGAAAAGCCAGAAUACACUGGCUUGGAGCUAAUUUUCUUGUCAAGUUCAGGAACAUCAGCAUAUGGGUUUUCUUGGUAAGUGCCAAAACAAGAAGUAAAGAAUGUUAACACAAGGAAAAGAAUGAGCACAUGCUUUGCUGGGUUUUGUGGGAUCAUUUUGUCUUCCACUAUACCUUCAAUCAAGGAGAUGAAGCAAACAAAAGGGAUGA
This 1400-nucleotide unclassified non-coding RNA is filed under the name Hevea brasiliensis (rubber tree). Lineage: Eukaryota; Viridiplantae; Streptophyta; Magnoliopsida; Malpighiales; Euphorbiaceae. The record is from RNAcentral.